Molecule: ribosomal RNA, 497 nt
Filed under: uncultured bacterium
Lineage: Bacteria
Description: partial 16S ribosomal RNA
Rfam family: Bacterial small subunit ribosomal RNA
Source: RNAcentral
GAUGAACGCUGGCGGCAUGCCUAAUACAUGCAAGUCGAGCGAACACACAGGAAGCUCGCGCCUUUACCGGUGGCGGCGGACGGGUGAGUAACACAUGGAUCAGAUACCUAUGAGACUGGGGUAACUACGGGAAACCGGAGAUACUACCGGCGCAUAUUUUGAACCGCAUGAUUCAGUAGUUACAGGCAGUUUUGCUGACCCUUUUAGAUGAAUCCGAGCCGCAUUAGCUAUUUGGUAAGGUAACGGCUUACCGAGGCCACGAUGCGUAUCCGACCUGAGAGGGUGAUCCGCCACACUGGAACUGAGACACGGUCCAGACUCCUACGGGAGGCAGCAGUUGGGAAUCUGACGCAACGGGCGUAAGCAUGAUUGAGCAACGCCGCGUCAGUGACGAAGGCCUUCGGGUUGGAAAACAGUAUUUUUCGGCAAGAACAGACGACUAGGGAGAGCGCCAGGUCGUGACGGUACCUAAGAAAUAAGCCCCGGCUAACUGCGCG